Molecule: ribosomal RNA, 253 nt
Filed under: uncultured bacterium
Lineage: Bacteria
Description: partial 16S ribosomal RNA
Rfam family: Bacterial small subunit ribosomal RNA
Source: RNAcentral
UACAGAGGUCCCAAGCGUUGUUCGGAUUCAUUGGGCGUAAAGGGUGUGUAGGUGGCGCCGUAAGUCGGGUGUGAAAUUUCGGAGCUUAACUCCGAAACUGCAUUCGAUACUGCGGUGCUUGAGGACUGGAGAGGAGACUGGAAUUCAUGGUGUAGCAGUGAAAUGCGUAGAGAUCAUGAGGAAGACCAGUGGCGAAGGCGGGUCUCUGGACAGUUCCUGACACUGAGACACGAAGGCCAGGGGAGCGAACGGG